Molecule: ribosomal RNA, 390 nt
Filed under: uncultured bacterium
Lineage: Bacteria
Description: bacterial SSU rRNA
Rfam family: Bacterial small subunit ribosomal RNA
Source: RNAcentral
GGASCGGUGCGAGCGUUGUCCGGAAUCACUGGGCGUAAAGGGCGCGUWGGCGGCAUGCCAAGCGUGUGGUGAAAGCCCGGGGCUCAACCCCGGGUCGGCCGUGCGGACUGGCGUGCUCGAGCACUGUAGGGGCGGGUGGAAUUCCGGGUGUAGCGGUGGAAUGCGUAGAGAUCCGGAAGAACACCGGUGGCGAAGGCGGCCCGCUGGGCAGGAAGGGAGCGCAAGCUCCCGGCUGACGCUGAGGCGCGACAGCGUGGGGAGCAAACAGGAUUAGAUACCCUGGUAGUCCGCGCCGUAAACGAUGGGCACUAGGUGCCUGGGGGAGCGACCCCCCGGGUGCCGGCGCUAACGCAUUAAGUGCCCCGCCUGGGGAGUACGGCCGCAAGGCUG